This 831-nucleotide ribosomal RNA is filed under the name Nocardioides sp. RNAcentral describes it as "bacterial SSU rRNA". It matches the Rfam family "Bacterial small subunit ribosomal RNA", at positions 56 to 900 of the family's 1533-position model. The record is from RNAcentral. Lineage: Bacteria; Bacillati; Actinomycetota; Actinomycetes; Propionibacteriales; Nocardioidaceae.
UGCAAGUCGAGCGGAAAGGCCACUUCGGUGGUACUCGAGCGGCGAACGGGUGAGUAACACGUGAGUAAUCUGCCCUUGGCUUUGGGAUAGCCACCGGAAACGGUGAUUAAUACCGGAUACGACCACUUCACGCAUGUGAUGGUGGUGGAAAGUUUUUCGGCCAGGGAUGUGCUCGCGGCCUAUCAGCUUGAUGGUGAGGUAAUGGCUCACCAUGGCUUCGACGGGUAGCCGGCCUGAGAGGGUGACCGGCCACACUGGGACUGAGACACGGCCCAGACUCCUACGGGAGGCAGCAGUGGGGAAUAUUGGACAAUGGGCGGAAGCCUGAUCCAGCAACGCCGCGUGAGGGAUGACGGCCUUCGGGUUGUAAACCUCUUUCAGCAGGGACGAAGCGCAAGUGACGGUACCUGCAGAAGAAGCACCGGCCAACUACGUGCCAGCAGCCGCGGUAAUACGUAGGGUGCGAGCGUUGUCCGGAAUUAUUGGGCGUAAAGGGCUCGUAGGCGGUCUGUCGCGUCGGGAGUGAAAACCAGGUGCUUAACACCUGGCUUGCUUUCGAUACGGGCAGACUAGAGGUAUUCAGGGGAGAACGGAAUUCCUGGUGUAGCGGUGAAAUGCGCAGAUAUCAGGAGGAACACCGGUGGCGAAGGCGGUUCUCUGGGAAUAUCCUGACGCUGAGGAGCGAAAGUGUGGGGAGCGAACAGGAUUAGAUACCCUGGUAGUCCACACCGUAAACGUUGGGCGCUAGGUGUGGGGUCCAUUCCACGGAUUCCGUGCCGCAGCUAACGCAUUAAGCGCCCCGCCUGGGGAGUACGGCCGCAAGGCUAAAAC